This 427-nucleotide ribosomal RNA is filed under the name uncultured bacterium. RNAcentral describes it as "bacterial SSU rRNA". It matches the Rfam family "Bacterial small subunit ribosomal RNA", at positions 355 to 774 of the family's 1533-position model. The record is from RNAcentral.
UGGGGAAUAUUGGACAAUGGGCGCAAGCCUGAUCCAGCCAUGCCGCGUGGGUGAAGAAGGCCUUCGGGUUGUAAAGCCCUUUUGUCCGGAAAGAAAUCCUGUCGGUUAAUACCCGGCGGGGAUGACGGUACCGGAAGAAUAAGCACCGGCUAACUUCGUGCCAGCAGCCGCGGUAAUACGGAGGGUGCAAGCGUUAAUCGGAAUUACUGGGCGUAAAGCGCACGCAGGCGGUCUGUCAAGUCGGAUGUGAAAUCCCCGGGCUCAACCUGGGAACUGCAUUCGAAACUGGCAGGCUAGAGUCUUGUAGAGGGGGGUAGAAUUCCAGGUGUAGCGGUGAAAUGCGUAGAGAUCUGGAGGAAUACCGGUGGCGAAGGCGGCCCCCUGGACAAAGACUGACGCUCAGGUGCGAAAGCGUGGGGAGCAAACA